This 73-nucleotide transfer RNA is filed under the name Leptospira sp. RNAcentral's name for it is "tRNA-Thr". It matches the Rfam family "tRNA". From Rfam's summary of the family: Transfer RNA (tRNA) molecules are approximately 80 nucleotides in length. Their secondary structure includes four short double-helical elements and three loops (D, anti-codon, and T loops). Lineage: Bacteria; Pseudomonadati; Spirochaetota; Leptospiria; Leptospirales; Leptospiraceae. The record is from RNAcentral. RNAcentral also lists the same sequence under 1 other name.
GCUGCCUUAGCUCAAUUGGUAGAGCAGCUGAUUUGUAAUCAGCAGGUUGGGGGUUCAAGUCCCUUAGGCAGCU